This 253-nucleotide ribosomal RNA is filed under the name uncultured bacterium. RNAcentral's name for it is "partial 16S ribosomal RNA". It matches the Rfam family "Bacterial small subunit ribosomal RNA", at positions 524 to 776 of the family's 1533-position model. The record is from RNAcentral.
UACGUAGGGGGCAAGCGUUGUCCGGAUUUAUUGGGCGUAACGAGCGUGUAGGCGGUCAGGUAGGUCCGUUGUGAAAACUCGAGGCUCAACCUCGAGACGCCGAUGGAAACCAUCUGACUAGAGUCCGGAAGAGGAGAGUGGAAUUCCUGGUGUAGCGGUGAAAUGCGUAGAUAUCAGGAGGAACACCGGUGGUGUAAACGGCUUUCUGGACCAUAACUGACACUGAGGCACGAAAGCGUGGGUAGCAAACAGG